GACGAACGCUGGCGGCGUGCUUAACACAUGCAAGUCGAGCGGUAAGGCCCUUUCGGGGGUACACGAGCGGCGAACGGGUGAGUAACACGUGGGUGACCUGCCCUCAGCUCUGGGAUAAGCCCGGGAAACUGGGUCUAAUACUGGAUAUUACUCUGCGGUGCAUGCCGUGGGGUGGAAAGCCUUGUGCGGCUGGGGAUGGGCCCGCGGCCUAUCAGCUUGUUGGUGGGGUGAUGGCCUACCAAGGCGACGACGGGUAGCCGGCCUGAGAGGGCGACCGGCCACACUGGGACUGAGACACGGCCCAGACUCCUACGGGAGGCAGCAGUGGGGAAUCUUGCGCAAUGGGCGAAAGCCUGACGCAGCGACGCCGCGUGAGGGAUGACGGCCUCGG
Molecule: ribosomal RNA, 391 nt
Filed under: uncultured bacterium
Lineage: Bacteria
Description: bacterial SSU rRNA
Rfam family: Bacterial small subunit ribosomal RNA
Source: RNAcentral